AGUGAAGCGGUAAAAGCUCAAAUUUGAAAUCUGGUACUUUCAGUGCCCGAGUUGUAAUUUGUAGAAUUUGUCUUUGAUUAGGUCCUUGUCUAUGUUCCUUGGAACAGGACGUCAUAGAGGGUGAGAAUCCCGUUUGGCGAGGAUACCUUUUCUCUGUAAGACUUUUUCGAAGAGUCGAGUUGUUUGGGAAUGCAGCUCAAAGUGGGUGGUAAAUUCCAUCUAAAGCUAAAUAUUGGCGAGAGACCGAUAGCGAACAAGUACAGUGAUGGAAAGAUGAAAAGAACUUUGAAAAGAGAGUGAAAAAGUACGUGAAAUUGUUGAAAGGGAAGGGCAUUUGAUCAGACAUGGUGUUUUUUGCAUGCACUCGCCUCUCGUGGGCUUGGGCCUCUCAAAAAUUUCACUGGGCCAACAUCAAUUCUGGCAGCAGGAUAAAUCAUUAAGAAUGUAGCUACUCUGUAGUGUUAUAGCUUUUUGGAAUACUGUUAGCCGGGAUUGAGGACUGCGCUUCGGCAAGGAUGUUGGCAUAAUGGUUAAAUGCCGCCCGUCUUG
This 549-nucleotide ribosomal RNA is filed under the name Hanseniaspora sp. Its description in RNAcentral is "partial large subunit ribosomal RNA". It matches the Rfam family "Eukaryotic large subunit ribosomal RNA", at positions 92 to 656 of the family's 3401-position model. The record is from RNAcentral. Lineage: Eukaryota; Fungi; Ascomycota; Saccharomycetes; Saccharomycodales; Saccharomycodaceae.